CCCUGUUGUGUCAUUUCUGCUUAUUUAUUUGUUGCCUCAUACAACAGAAAGAUAGGAAGCCGAAAUCAUGAAACAAAGGUUGGUUUGGUUCACCUUCGGAUUCACAUCGGCUUUGGCAGCUCUGUUCGUCUUCAAAGAUCUUUGGUUAGAUCGCGAUUUGUUGAAGGAGAAGGUCGACACCAUGCACAUCAAAAUCUCCAAUCUCGAACCAGCAGUCCUCCGUCCAAAUAGUAGUAGUACAACUUUGAUUUCUCUGAAUGUUUCAGUUGGGAACCCCGCUAUCAGUCAUAUAGCUGGCUGAGGAGGAUGAAGGAGAAUUUGAAUUGAAGCCCCGGUUUUUCGAUUCGCAUCUCUAGAUAUAAAGUAGAAACUAUUUCAAUGCGGAAAAGUUUUUUUUUUUUUUUUUUAAAUCUUUCCUUGGAAUCAUAUGCUUAAGGCUUCAUGAAAGCCCCAUAGCUUGCGACGUUUUUCUUUACAAACUUUUAUUGUUUGGUACACUCCUACCCAGUUAUAGAUACUCUUUUUGAGGUCU
This is a long non-coding RNA of Rhododendron vialii, 532 nucleotides long. RefSeq lists it as uncharacterized. The record is from RefSeq and is a predicted model, not a curated record. The transcript has 3 exons. NCBI's taxonomy places the organism in Eukaryota, Viridiplantae, Streptophyta, Magnoliopsida, Ericales, Ericaceae.